RNAcentral lists this ribosomal RNA (419 nucleotides) under uncultured prokaryote. RNAcentral describes it as "bacterial SSU rRNA". It matches the Rfam family "Bacterial small subunit ribosomal RNA", at positions 338 to 774 of the family's 1533-position model. The record is from RNAcentral.
CCUACGGGAGGCAGUAGUAGGGAAUAUUAGAAAUGGACGAAAGUCUGAUCUAGCAACACCGCGUGUGCGAAGAAGGCCUUCGGGUCGUAAAGCACUUUUUGGAGGGAAUAGGAAGGAAUGUCCUUCCAGAAUAAGUCUCGGCUAACUACGUGCCAGCAGCCACGGUAACACGUAGGAGGCAAACGUUAUCCGGAUUUACUGGGCGUACAGCGCGGGUAGGUGGUACUGUAAGUAGGGCGUGAAAGCUCCUGGCUCAACUGGGAGAGGCCGUGCUAAACUACAGAACUAGAGGAUGGUAGAGGGAGGUGGAAUUCCAGGUGUAGCGGUGGAAUGCGCAGAUAUCGGGAGGAACACCGGUGGCGAAGGCGGCCUCCUGGACCAUUCCUGACACUCAGACGCGAAAGCUAGGGUAGCAAACG